RNAcentral lists this transfer RNA (67 nucleotides) under Xenopus laevis (African clawed frog). It matches the Rfam family "tRNA". From Rfam's summary of the family: Transfer RNA (tRNA) molecules are approximately 80 nucleotides in length. Their secondary structure includes four short double-helical elements and three loops (D, anti-codon, and T loops). Lineage: Eukaryota; Metazoa; Chordata; Amphibia; Anura; Pipidae. The record is from Rfam by way of RNAcentral.
ACCAGGAUGGCCGAGUGGUUAAGGCGUUGAACUUAUAUCUGCGUAGGUUUGAAUCCCGCUUCUGGUA